GACGAACCGUGCGAACGUUGUUCGGAAUCACUGGGCUUAAAGGGCGCGUAGGCGGGCAGGCAAGUCAGGGGUGAAAUCCCACGGCUCAACCGUGGAAGUGCCUUUGAUACUGCCGGUCUUGAGGGAGGUAGGGGCGUGCGGAACUUCCGGUGGAGCGGUGAAAUGCGUAGAUAUCGGAAGGAACACCAGUGGCGAAAGCGGCUUCCUGGUCCAGCACCGACGUCAGGCACGAAAGCGUGGGGAGCAAACAGG
This 252-nucleotide ribosomal RNA is filed under the name uncultured bacterium. Its description in RNAcentral is "partial 16S ribosomal RNA". It matches the Rfam family "Bacterial small subunit ribosomal RNA", at positions 524 to 776 of the family's 1533-position model. The record is from RNAcentral.